GUAAAAAUGGGCGGAAUAUUGAGGUAAAAAUGGGCAGAAUAUGGGGACUAUUCCUCUUUCAGGGUCUGAAUCUGGUGAUAAUAUUGAGGUAAUCUUACAUUUUUACUUAUCCUUUUGAUUUCGAUUUUAGUGGGUUGAUAUUACUUUUCAAAAUUUCAAUUUUGUUUGGGGAUAUUGUUUAGUAGAAUUCUGGGUUAAGAGAAAAUGAGGGUAAUUUGGUAUAAACCGGAGGAACAUUAUGACCCAACAGGAGGAGACAUGGCGAAUUUGAAUACUUUGACUUGAGUGGGUGCUAUUUCUUUCUCUGUUCCAUCUAAGGUUAGAAAUUUAUUCAGAGUGGCGGGUGUACUUUCUUCAUUUCAGUAGCAGUGUAACAUCAGCUGAGAUUAGCAAUUGAGCAUAUGCACUACUUUACAUUUCUAGGAUUUUGUUUGCAUGUUUUUGGAGCCAUUAUCUUCCAGUGUACUUCUAUGUGUAAUUCAUUCAAUUAUUUGUUAUUGUUAUGCAUUUGUUCACCUUAAAUUCUUUCAUUUUUUAUAAUAAUUGCAAUUAACUGCGGAAUUCUGCAGUAAUGGUAUUCUGUCGUGAUUAUUUGGGUGGUUGUUUGAUUUUUUAACCUAAAUAAGUGUUAAUUGUUGGUUUCUUUGUCAAAGUUUAUUAAUUUAACUGAUCUUCCCAUUCUGAAUACUACUUGAUGCAAGGUUGUCAGGAUCGGGAUCCUACUUUGGAUCGUUGAAGAGGGGUAGGAUCGGAUCGGUAGAAUCGGAUCGUAGGAUCGUAAGAUCCUACUAAAUACUAAAAAUAAUGGUUAUAUUAUUAAAAUGAAAUGUAAAAUCAUGUAUUCAGGUAAUUUUAAUACUUAAAUAUCAUUUUUUGCUCACAUAAGAUUAAUACUUGUGUAGAUUCAAGAACAAUUAAUAAGAUGCGCAAGGUUGUUGAAAUUAUAUGAAUUUCUCUACUUUUAAAUGAAUAAUAUACUUUUUAAUUUAUAACUAAUUUAUUGAGAGAAAAGUAUGAUAUUUCUAAUGAUAUGUGAUUAUGAACUAUUUAGUAAUAAAAAAAAUUGUUAUAUUAAAAAAUUGUAUGUUGGAUCGGAUCGUUGGAUCGGAUCGUAGAAUCGUAGAAUCUUAGGAUCGUAUUAAGAUCCCACCACAAAAAAAAAGUUAUCGAGAUAGGAUCGUAAGAUCCUACACACAUUAAGAUCUUACCUAAGAUCCGGAUCGGUGACGUGUUUUUGGAUCGUAGAAUCGUAGGAUCGUAAGAUCCGGAUCGGGAGUUUAACAACCAUGACUUGAUGUUUACUGGUUAAUUUGAAUCAGAGUACAUUGAUAAUAGGUGACUGUUCUGGCACACUUAGUAUAUGAUUUAAUCAAGGGAAUGGUAAAUGUCAAUUAAUAAGAGUUGUAUACCAUGUAAUAGCUGGCUCUUGAAUCAGAGUACAUUGAUGAUGGAUUCAUUAACAGGAUAAUUCAUCAGGUAUUGGCCGUAUAUAUCACGCUGAAAGUGCUGAAAUAAAUUUUUCUGAUGUUUAUGCUACCCGGUUGGCUGAUUGGGGAUCGGUUCGUCAAUUAACUAAAUUUUGCUUUCUGCAUUAGGAUUCUGAGGUUAGUUAUUUACUUUCCAAUUGUUGCUCUGUGUCUGUUGAUCAUGAUGGUUCAUUUGUCCUUUUUUUUUUUUUUUGCAGAUGUACCUUUUUGUGGUUCAUGCUAUGCAGAGAACAAAGACCAAGGCAUCCUUCUGGCAGUUGAUGGAGUACACUUUUAAUCUGCUUUUGGUUACGAAUAGAUUAAUUUUCCAACUCAGACUCACUAUAUGUCUUUUUGGGUCUUUUUAUUAUAUUUCUGGGUGUUUAUUUUGUCAUUUUGGAUUAAUACUCUGUGAAUGUGUUCAAAUAUAAUGGGUAUUGUUUACACUUUAAAAAUUCUGAUUUAAAUUUCUCGAACUUCUACAAAUUAAUCUAUUAAUUUUCUGGAUUUUAUAUUUGGUACAGUUUCAUCAAUACCAAGUUGUUGGUAGAGCUCUACAGGAUGAAGCUUCUUCAUCUUCUGCAACAUGUUCGAUUCAUCUUUGCAAUUAUUCUCAAUUUGAGCAGAUUUGUCCAAGGAUGAAGCUAAAUAUCCCUUUUUUCUUUGAAGAUAUAUGGGCUAAAUGUUGAAUAUAUGGGUCCAACUAGCCCAAUUGGAUCAUUGCUAUGCAGUUCUGUUGAAUUGUGCACAGAGGAAAAAUGUCUUGAAUUAUCAGCAGCAAGCCAGUCCAUUGGUCCCCAAACCCCUUGCUUUCAAGGGGUAGGAUAUUUUAUGGGUCUGGCGGGUCUUACGAUAUGUUUGUUGGGAGGGAUGCGACCCGGGCUUUGGCCCUCAUGUCUUUAGAUCCUCAGGAUCUUACUGCCAACACUGAUGAUUCAACAGUGAAUCUGAGCUUGAUGUUCUUCAGGAUUGGGAGCUUAAGUUUCAAGGGAAAUACCCCAAAGUCGGUGUUCUUGGAGGCCAACCGCAGUUGCAGGAGGAGAUUGUAGAAACUAAAUAAGUUGUAUAGGUUACUCCUAAUUUUCAGUUUUCUUUAUUUCAUGUUUGAUGAUUAUCUCUUAAUGUCAGAGAAGGCCUAUUAUUAAUCAAGUACCUUUUAAUGAUAUACUGAUCCAAUUUAGUAUUAAUCUUUCAUUGUAGCUGUUUAUUGUUUGUGGUGAUUAAUUGUAAUAAUACAAUUUUGAU
This is an RNA transcript of Spinacia oleracea (spinach), 2711 nucleotides long. RefSeq lists it as uncharacterized. Lineage: Eukaryota; Viridiplantae; Streptophyta; Magnoliopsida; Caryophyllales; Amaranthaceae. The record is from RefSeq and is a predicted model, not a curated record. The transcript has 3 exons.